Molecule: long non-coding RNA, 996 nt
Filed under: Nicotiana benthamiana
Lineage: Eukaryota; Viridiplantae; Streptophyta; Magnoliopsida; Solanales; Solanaceae
Description: long non-coding RNA (NBEN_LNC013479)
Source: RNAcentral
GUAGUUACUUCUACAAAUCAUGUCAAGUUCUGCACUCCUACAUUUAGCAUAUACAAACCACGCCUACAGGUUCUGCAUUUCAUAUAGGCAGCUUGUCAUUAGGUUCUGUACUUUUGCAUUUCAGAAAUCUUGUCUUUGGGUUCGGCACUUCUGCAUUUUUUAAGAAAUCCAUGUUUGUAAAUUUCUACACUUCUGCAUCUCACAUAGAGAACAUGUCUACAGGAUUCUACAUUUUUGCCUAUCAUAUAGAGAGCAUGUCUAUAGGUUCUUCCUGAAUUCUACGUAUCCAUCACUAGGCAAAUGAUAAAUAGGUUCAAAUAAUAAUCUGUAUUUUAGACACCAUGCUUAUAGGAUCUCUGCACUUCUAUAACGUUUUAAAAUCAAUAACACUUAGAAAUCAUGCCUAUAGGAGUAAUCGAAUCUGAACCGUCUAUCUUGCUUACAAGUCUAAAAUCAGUAGUGACGUUACUCAAAUCCGCUUAGCUUAUGUUAUUCUAUAGUCAACAAUUCUUCUUCUGAAAUCAGUAUAUCUCUCUUCUGCAUUAUUAGAUAUCAUGCAUAUAGGUCUCCCUUAAGCAAGAUAUAUGGUGAAUUAACUAAUAAAUCAGGUUUCGCUAAUUCCAACCAGCAGGCAGACCUGACUCGGGCUUCUCAUCUGAAAUAUGUAAUAGAUCAAUUUUCCAUAAUUUAAUUUUAAUUCAGACCAUAACCAGUACAUGCAAGACAUGCUAAACAAUCUUCCCUUAAGUGAAGAGGCAUGUUUGAGCCUUUUAAUUAUUAUGUGUUCCCAUAUAUGCUAUACGUGUUUUGCGUGACGCCUUUGAAUUUUAUGCUUUUGAAACCACAAAUAGCCCAAAUCUCCUUUCCCUUUAGGGAUAGUAGUCCCAAAUGCCUCUGGGGAUGAUAGGAUCAUGGCGGGUACUAGCAUGUAAUUAGUAAAGAAACCAUUCUUCAUUUAAUACAUCAACGGGGCAAGAAAGGGUAUGGAUAUGAUGA